GACGAGGGAUCCUAGCGUUGUUCGGAAUCAUUGGGCGUAAAGCGGGUGUAGGUGGCUUUGUAAGUCAGGUGUGAAAUCCCAGGGCUCAACCCUGGACGUGCAUUUGAUACUGCGAAGCUUGAGUGUAGGAGAGGAUAGUAGAAUUCCUGGUGUAGUGGUGAAAUACGUAGAUAUCAGGAGGAAUACCGGAGGCGAAGGCGGCUAUCUGGCCUAACACUGACACUCAGACCCGAAAGCGUGGGGAUCAAACAGG
This 253-nucleotide ribosomal RNA is filed under the name uncultured bacterium. Its description in RNAcentral is "partial 16S ribosomal RNA". It matches the Rfam family "Bacterial small subunit ribosomal RNA", at positions 524 to 776 of the family's 1533-position model. The record is from RNAcentral.